RNAcentral lists this ribosomal RNA (480 nucleotides) under uncultured archaeon. Its description in RNAcentral is "bacterial SSU rRNA". It matches the Rfam family "Archaeal small subunit ribosomal RNA", at positions 933 to 1413 of the family's 1478-position model. The record is from RNAcentral.
GGACCGACAGCAAUAUGAAGGCCAGGCUGAUGGCUUCGCCGGUUUAGCUGAGCGGUGGUGCAUCCCCGUCGUCAGUUCGUGCUGUGAAGCAUCCUGUUAAGUCAGGCAACGAGCGAGACCCACGCCCACAGUUGCCAGCGUACUCUCCGGAGUGACGGGUACACUGUGGGGACCGCCGCUGCUAAAGCGGAGGAAGGAAUGGGCAACGGUAGGUCAGUAUGCCCCGAAUAUCCCGGGCUACACGCGAGCUACAAUGGUUGGUACAAUGGGUAUCUACCCCGAAAGGGGACGGGAAUCUCCUAAAACCAAUCUUAGUUCGGAUUGAGGGCUGCAACUCGCCCUCAUGAAGCUGGAAUCCGUAGUAAUCGCGUUUCAACAGAACGCGGUGAAUACGUCCCUGCUCCUUGCACACACCGCCCGUCAAACCACCCGAGUAGGGUCUGAAUGAGAGCGCUUUCUUUGGAGGCGUUCGAAUUUGGG